This 1338-nucleotide long non-coding RNA is filed under the name Equus caballus (horse). Its description in RNAcentral is "lncRNA (ENSECAG00000054869.1)". Lineage: Eukaryota; Metazoa; Chordata; Mammalia; Perissodactyla; Equidae. The record is from RNAcentral.
CUCCCUGCGGGCUGGCUGUGACAGAGCUGCCCAGGCUCCCUGCCUGCCUCUGUCCCCAGCCCCCAGCGCCCAGCCCCAUACCCGGGGGCCCGGGGAGCCCACACUGCCUGUGGAGGGAGGAAGGAGGCCAGCCAUUCCUGGAGGGGCCCCCUGGGGCCCUGGUAAAGCAUCCACCCCCUCCUUGGUACUUCCGCCUCCAUGUGGCCUUGGCAGGGCUCCUGGGAGCCGAGCCAGAGGAAAACAGGGUCACAGGAAAAUCUGCCCUGAGCUAACAUCUGCUGCCAAUCCUCCUCUUUUUGCUGAGGAAGACUGGCCCUGAGCUAACAUCUGUGCCCAUCUUCCUUUACUCUAUAUGUGGGACACCUGCCACAGCCUGGCUUGCCAAGCGGUGCCAUGUCUGCACCUGGGAUCCGAACUGGCGAACCCCAGGCCGCCGGAGCAGAAUGUGCAAACUUAACCACUGCGCCACCGGCCCCGCCCCGAUAACUCAUAUCUUUAUAAGAAGAGGAGAAACACAGAGAGACACACAUAGACAGAGAGAAGAGGCCCCCUGAAGAUGGAGGCGGAGACUGGGGUGAUGCUGCCACAAGCCAAGGAACACCUGGAGGCCCCAGAAGCUGGAAGAGGCAAGGAGGGAUCCUCCCCCAGAACCUUCAGAGGAGCAUGGCCCUGCCAACACCUGGGUUUCAGACUCAAUGACCUCUUGGACUGUGAGAGAGUAGAUGUCUCUUGUUUUAAGCUGCCCGGUCUGUGGUACUUCGUAGGGCAGCUCCAGGAAACUAACACAGGCCUCGAAGGGAGGGGUGUGGAGAGUGAAUACCCCGUCCUCACUCUCCUCCCUCCCUCUCGCCUGCUGCGGUGUUCCCCAACCAGAAGGUGGAGGGCACGGGAGCCCCUUGUGGUCCACUCAGAGCCGCCUCCAAGGCAGGAAGUAGGGGAAGGUGGAGCCAGGAUCCGGAGGUGCAAGCAGAAGAUACUAGAUAAUAGUUAUUAUUACAGUGACAUCCCACCCAGAUCCCAAAGGAAGAGUUGUGGCUCUUCUGUCCCCAGGGAUGUGGAAACUGAAGCCUUGGCGACCUUGAUGGACCCCAGCCUGCCAGAUGCAGGGAGCUCUGCCGCCCGGUUUCUGUGCUGACAAUGAUAACGCUAAUGUUGGCAUCUCUGCACAUUUACUCUCUGCUCGUUAUCACAUCGGCAUCCACGAGAUUUGCCAGAGAGCCACCAUGUGCAUUCUUUCCCAUGCCCCCAGGCCCUCUGUUCCAGACCAUCAUGGAAUAAAACAUCAGGAAAGAGGGUCUCCAUUUGCAGGACGGUGUCCAGGAGAGUUAAGGUAGCGGC